CGGUACGGCGAGGCCGUAACACACUGCAAGUCGAGCGGCAGCGGAAAGUAGCUUGCUACUUGUCGGCGAGCGGCGGACGGGUGGAGUAAUAGUCUGGGAAACGUGCCUGAUGAGGGGGAGUAACGUAACUGGAAACGGUAAGCUAAUACCGCAUGACCUCGAAGAGCAAAGUGGGGAGUCUUCGGACCUCACGCCAUCGGAUGUGCCCAGAUGGGAUUAGCUAGUAGGUGAGGUAAUGGCUCACCUAGGCGACGAUCCCUAGCUGGUCUGAGAGGGAUGACCAGCCACACUGGAACUGAGACACGGUCCAGACUCCUACGGGAGGCAGCAGUGGGGAAUAUUGCACAAUGGGCGCAAGCCUGAUGCAGCCAUGCCGCGUGUGUGAAGAAGGCCUUAGGGUUGUAAAGCACUUUCAGCGAGGAGGAAGGCACCAUACUUAAUACGUGUGGUGAUUGACGUUACUCGCAGAAGAAGCACCGGCUAACUCCGUG
Molecule: ribosomal RNA, 491 nt
Filed under: uncultured Rahnella sp.
Lineage: Bacteria; Pseudomonadati; Pseudomonadota; Gammaproteobacteria; Enterobacterales; Yersiniaceae
Description: bacterial SSU rRNA
Rfam family: Bacterial small subunit ribosomal RNA
Source: RNAcentral